GGGACACGUGGUAUCCUGUCUGAAUAUGGGGGGACCAUCCUCCAAGGCUAAAUACUCCUGACUGACCGAUAGUGAACCAGUACCGUGAGGGAAAGGCGAAAAGAACCCCGGCGAGGGGAGUGAAAAAGAACCUGAAACCGUGUACGUACAAGCAGUGGGAGCACGCUUAGGCGUGUGACUGCGUACCUUUUGUAUAAUGGGUCAGCGACUUAUAUUCUGUAGCAAGGUUAACCGAAUAGGGGAGCCGAAGGGAAACCGAGUCUUAACUGGGCGUUAAGUUGCAGGGUAUAGACCCGAAACCCGGUGAUCUAGCCAUGGGCAGGUUGAAGGUUGGGUAACACUAACUGGAGGACCGAACCGACUAAUGUUGAAAAAUUAGCGGAUGACUUGUGGCUGGGGGUGAAAGGCCAAUCAAACCGGGAGAUAGCUGGUUCUCCCCGAAAGCUAUUUAGGUAGCGCCUCGUGAAUUCAUCUCCGGGGGUAGAGCACUGUUUCGGCAAGGGGGUCAUCCCGACUUACCAACCCGAUGCAAACUGCGAAUACCGGAGAAUGUUAUCACGGGAGACACACGGCGGGUGCUAACGUCCGUCGUGAAGAGGGAAACAACCCAGACCGCCAGCUAAGGUCCCAAAGUCAUGGUUAAGUGGGAAACGAUGUGGGAAGGCCCAGACAGCCAGGAUGUUGGCUUAGAAGCAGCCAUCAUUUAAAGAAAGCGUAAUAGCUCACUGGUCGAGUCGGCCUGCGCGGAAGAUGUAACGGGGCUAAACCAUGCACCGAAGCUGCGGCAGCGACACUAUGUGUUGUUGGGUAGGGGAGCGUUCUGUAAGCCUGUGAAGGUGUACUGUGAGGUAUGCUGGAGGUAUCAGAAGUGCGAAUGCUGACAUAAGUAACGAUAAAGCGGGUGAAAAGCCCGCUCGCCGGAAGACCAAGGGUUCCUGUCCAACGUUAAUCGGGGCAGGGUGAGUCGACCCCUAAGGCGAGGCCGAAAGGCGUAGUCGAUGGGAAACAGGUUAAUAUUCCUGUACUUGGUGUUACUGCGAAGGGGGGACGGAGAAGGCUAUGUUGGCCGGGCGACGGUUGUCCCGGUUUAAGCGUGUAGGCUGGUUUUCCAGGCAAAUCCGGAAAAUCAAGGCUGAGGCGUGAU
This 1144-nucleotide ribosomal RNA is filed under the name Escherichia coli. RNAcentral describes it as "partial 23S ribosomal RNA". It matches the Rfam family "Bacterial large subunit ribosomal RNA", at positions 419 to 1567 of the family's 2925-position model. The record is from RNAcentral. Lineage: Bacteria; Pseudomonadati; Pseudomonadota; Gammaproteobacteria; Enterobacterales; Enterobacteriaceae.